RNAcentral lists this long non-coding RNA (1380 nucleotides) under Oncorhynchus kisutch (coho salmon). Its description in RNAcentral is "lncRNA (ENSOKIG00005019857.1)". Lineage: Eukaryota; Metazoa; Chordata; Actinopteri; Salmoniformes; Salmonidae. The record is from RNAcentral.
AUUCAUAAGCAUCAGCAUUAAAACAAUGGCUGGGCUUGACUCAAACAGUGAAACAGCCAUCUUUUAAUUAAAAAUAAUAAUAAAAUAGUGAAAUGUGUUUAUGAGUUGCACAGUGUCAUAGUGAGUCUAAUGAGGAGAUUAGUGGAGAUCAAUAGAUUACUAGAUGUAAGUAGAGUAUAAAUGACUUGAGAUGAUGAGAUAGAGAUGACGACAUGGGAUGGACAGUUUAAAACAGAGAUAAUAAUGUUAUCUGAGAUGUACCAGAUGACAUGGUGUGGCUGAUUGAUGAAUUGAUUGAUUGGUUUACCUAUUGAUUUGUGGUGAUGGUACAAGCUUGCAUGCAGAGUGUGGCUGGCUAUGAUUUGGCAGAAACCAAACCAAUGAAUACAUUGUAUAAAACUUGAUAUCAACAUAUUUGAAUACUGUUCACACUGUGAAACUAUAUUACAGAGACAAUAUAAUAUGAAACUGACUGAUAAAUGCUCGAUACACAGGGAAAUAUACAAAAUGUACGUCUUCUUCAUAUUCUGGACUAAAAAAAACAAUGAUAGACAUUUUCCAGAUGGCUCCGAUAGCAGACACAUUACAAUACAAAGACCUGCUACAUUUUCUUUUCAACAAUAACGGGACGGCACAUCCAGUUCAAUAAUAAACAUCCUAUUCAUAGAAGAGCAUACAGAAGUACACACAGAAUACACUAGAAAUGUCAAGACAGAAAAAUAUAAAAAUAGCAAUCACAAUAAAAGAAUAAUCCAUAUCAGAAGAAAUACAUUGUAGUAAAUAGUAGUACGAUAGCAGUACACAGUGAGGGAGGUUUUGUUUGAUCAGUCUGGAGGUACUAGCUGUAUCUGAAACAGCAGCUAGCACCUUUUCCUAUACUAGUGCACUGUGGGAGUGUUUUGGCCCAAAGUACUAUAGGGAAUAGGGUUCCAUUUCAGAUUUCCCCAUUGUUAUUGUAGUACUAGAGUAGUACAUAGUCUAGUGUAUAUUGUCCUGGCUCUAGGUUGUUAUUGUAGUACUAGAGUAGUACAUAGUCUAGUGUGUAUUGUCCUGGCUGUAGGUUGUUAUUGUAGUACUAGAGUAGUACAUAGUCUAGUGUAUAUUGUCCUGGCUGUAGGUUGUUAUUGUAGUACUAGAGUAGUACAUAGUCUAGUGUAUAUUGUCCUGGCUCUAGGUUGUUAUUGUAGUACUAGAGUAGUACAUAGUCUAGUGUAUAUUGUCCUGGCUGUAGGUUGUUAUUGUAGUACUAGAGUAGUACAUAGUCUAGUGUAUAUUGUCCUGGCUGUAGGUUGUUAUUGUAGUACUAGAGUAAUACAUAGUCUAGUGUAUAUUGUCCUGGCUCUAGGUUGUUAUUGUAGUACUUGAGUAGUACAUAGUCUA